CUCCUGACCUCAGGUGAUUCACCUGCCUCGGCCUCCCAAAGUGCUGGGAUUACAGGCGUGAGCCACCGUGCCCGGCUGCACAAGCUCCGGGUGGAUAAGGCAGCUGCUGCAGCAGCGGCACUACAAGCCAAAUCAGAUGAGAAGGCGGCGGUUGCAGGCAAGAAGCCUGUGGUAGGUAAGAAAGGAAAGAAGGCUGCUGUUGGUGUUAAGAAGCAGAAGAAGCCUCUGGUGGGAAAAAAGGCAGCAGCUACCAAGAAACCAGCCCCUGAAAAGAAGCCUGCAGAGAAGAAACCUACUACAGAGGAAAAGAAGCCUGCUGCAUAAACUCUUAAAUUUGAUUAUUCCAUAGAGGUCAAAUCAUUUUGGACAGCUUCUUUUGAAUAAAGACCUGAUUAUACAGGCAGUGAG
Molecule: small RNA, 408 nt
Filed under: Pan troglodytes (chimpanzee)
Lineage: Eukaryota; Metazoa; Chordata; Mammalia; Primates; Hominidae
Description: processed transcript
Source: RNAcentral